Molecule: ribosomal RNA, 628 nt
Filed under: Vibrio parahaemolyticus
Lineage: Bacteria; Pseudomonadati; Pseudomonadota; Gammaproteobacteria; Vibrionales; Vibrionaceae
Description: partial 23S ribosomal RNA
Rfam family: Bacterial large subunit ribosomal RNA
Source: RNAcentral
GAAGACCAAGGGUUCCUGUCCAACGUUAAUCGGGGCAGGGUAAGUCGACCCCUAAGGCGAGGCCGAAAGGCGUAGUCGAUGGGAAACGGGUUAAUAUUCCCGUACUUCUUACAAUUGCGAUGGGGGGACGGAGAAGGCUAGGUGGGCCUGGCGACGGUUGUCCAGGUUCAAGUGCGUAGGCUUAAGAGUUAGGUAAAUCCGGCUCUUUUUAAGGCUGAGACACGACGUCGAGCACCUACGGGUGUGAAGUCAUUGAUGCCAUGCUUCCAGGAAAAGCCUCUAAGCUUCAGAUUGUAAGGAAUCGUACCCCAAACCGACACAGGUGGUCGGGUAGAGAAUACCAAGGCGCUUGAGAGAACUCGGGUGAAGGAACUAGGCAAAAUGGUACCGUAACUUCGGGAGAAGGUACGCUCUCGACGGUGAAGUCCCUCGCGGAUGGAGCUAUUGAGAGUCGCAGAUACCAGGUGGCUGCAACUGUUUAUUAAAAACACAGCACUGUGCAAAAUCGUAAGAUGACGUAUACGGUGUGACGCCUGCCCGGUGCCGGAAGGUUAAUUGAUGGGGUUAGACUUCGGUCGAAGCUCUUGAUCGAAGCCCCGGUAAACGGCGGCCGUAACUAUAACGGUCC